This is a long non-coding RNA of Anopheles funestus (African malaria mosquito), 4188 nucleotides long. RefSeq lists it as uncharacterized. The record is from RefSeq and is a predicted model, not a curated record. NCBI's taxonomy places the organism in Eukaryota, Metazoa, Arthropoda, Insecta, Diptera, Culicidae. The transcript is spliced from 3 exons.
AUGUCCCAAAGUACCGAUAGAGUACCCACAAAUAGCACCGCGUUGGCCUAAGUUGGCCAAAAGUACCGAUAGAGUACCCACAAGUAGCACUGAGUUGGCCUAAGUUGGCCAAAAGUACCGAUAGAGUACCCACAAGAAGCACUGAGUUGGCCUAAGUUGGCCAAAAGUACCGAUAGAGUACCCACAAGAAGCACUGAGUUGGCCUAAGUUGGCCAAAAGUACCGAUAGAGUACCCACAAAUAGCACCCAGUUGGCCUAAGUUGGCCAAAAGUACCGAUAGAGCACCCAAAAGUAGCACCCAAUUGGCCUAUGUUGGCCAAAAGUACCGAUAGAGUACCCACAAAUAGCACCCAGUUGGCCUAAGUUGGCCAAAAGUACCGAUAGAGCACCCACAAGUAGCACCCAAUUGGCCUAUGUUGGCCAAAAGUACCGAUAGAGUACCCACAAAUAGCACCGAAUGGGCCUAAGUUGGCCAAAAGUACCGAUAGAGUACCCACAAAUAGCACCGCGUUGGCCUAAGUUGGCCAAAAGUACCGAUAGAGUACCCACAAGUAGCACUGAGUUGGCCUAAGUUGGCCAAAAGUACUGAUAGAGUACCCACAAAUAGCACCGAAUGGGCCUAACAUGGCCAAAAGUACCGAUAGAGUACCCACAAAUAGCACCGAAUGGGCCUAACAUGGCCAAAAGUACCGAUAGAGCACCCACAUAUAGCACCCCAUUGGCCUAAGUUGGCCAAAAGUACCGAUAGAGUACCCACAAAGAGCACCCAAUUGGCCUAAGUUGGCCAAAAGUACCGCCAAGUAGCACCAUAGAGGCCCGAGUAGAGCGAAAUGUGGGCCAAAUUGAACAUUUGAAAAUUUUUACAAGUCCAGAAAAUUUUCUAAGUCCAGAAAAUUUUCUAAGUCCAAAGAGUUGGACAAAUUUCCUUAGGCCCAAAGGUUGCACUGAAUGUUCCUAAGUUGGCCAUCAGUACCCAUGAAGUAUCGCGAAGGUUCACCCGAAAGACACAAUACGCCCUAUAGUACCCACAGAGUACCCACAAGUUGCACCCAAUUGGCCUAAGUUGGCCAGAAGUACCGACAAGUACCACCAAAGAAGCCCGAGUAGAGCGAAAUGUGGGCCAAAGUACCGAGUAGUUGCCACAAAUGCCCAAAUGGAUACCAAAAUGUGGUACCAAGUACCUAACUGUUGCAACAAAUGCUAGCUUUCUGACCAAAAGCUGUGGGUCAAUUUCGUAGAAGAACCGCCUAGGCGAAAAGGCAAAAAUCGCCGAAGCUGGCCCGCUCGCAGAGCUCGCGGGCCAGGAGAUACUCAUAGGGCGAUUUACUAGAGUGGGGAACUUGAGAAUUUUUGUGUCCGAGACUUUGGGCAACUUCGCGGCCGCCCCCUUAAAGUAAAAGAUUUUCUCUGGGUGCCUAAAAUUCGCAAUUCCCGCAAAGUCGGGAAGACGUUAAAGUUUUUGCCCAAAAAAUGGCCAUCGAUUUAAGGUGAUUUUCCAAUAAGAAAAUGCUUCCUAUUUUGAAUUUUUUCGAAUAUUUCCUAAACUAAGCGUCGGAGCACAUGGCCGUGGAGGAACUUUUGGUAGCUUUUGGCAAGGGCUAUCGGAUGAAAUAAUAAGAAAGGCCAUCAGAGCGAUAUUGGAUUAAUGCGGGCUCAUAAACGCACCUGAGAAGUGAAAAUUGGUACCUUGCACGCAGGAUGCAAGAAAUGCUUGAGUGUUAACCAUCAUCGGUACCAAGUACCUAGGUUAUAUCGAGUGCGUAGAUGGAAGUCGGUACCAAAGGGAAACCUUCCUAGGCUAGGUGCACGCAAGUGAGUAUGGAUCGAUCAGUAGAAAGAUGGGAAGCCAUAGGAAACCUUCCUAGGCUAGGUGCACGCAAGUGAGUAUGGAUCGAUCAGUAGAAAGAUGGGAAGCCAUAGGAAACCUUCCUAGGCUAGGUGCACGCAAGUGAGUAUGGAUCGAUCAGUAGAAAGAUGGGAAGCCCAAGGAAACCUUCCUAGGCUAGGUGCACGCAAGUGAGUAUGGAUCGAUCAGUAGAAAGAUGGGAAGCCAUAGGAAACCUUCCUAGGCUAGGUGCACGCAAGUGAGUAUGGAUCGAUCAGUAGAAAGAUGGGAAGCCAUAGGAAACCUUCCUAGGCUAGGUGCACGCAAGUGAGUAUGGAUCGAUCAGUAGAAAGAUGGGAAGCCCAAGGAAACCUUCCUAGGCUAGGUGCACGCAAGUGAGUAUGGAUCGAUCAGUAGAAAGAUGGGAAGCCCAAGGAAACCUUCCUAGGCUAGGUGCACGCAAGUGAGUAUGGAUCGAUCAGUAGAAAGAUGGGAAGCCAUAGGAAACCUUCCUAGGCUAGGUGCACGCAAGUGAGUAUGGAUCGAUCAGUAGAAAGAUGGGAAGCCAUAGGAAACCUUGCUAGGCUAGGUGCACGCAAGUGAGUAUGGAUCGAUCAGUAGAAAGAUGGGAAGCCCAAGGAAACCUUCCUAGGCUAGGUGCACGCAAGUGAGUAUGGAUCGAUCAGUAGAAAGAUGGGAAGCCAUAGGAAACCUUCCUAGGCUAGGUGCACGCAAGUGAGUAUGGAUCGAUCAGUAGAAAGAUGGGAAGCCCAAGGAAACCUUCCUAGGCUAGGUGCACGCAAGUGAGUAUGGAUCGAUCAGUAGAAAGAUGGGAAGCCAUAGGAAACCUUCCUAGGCUAGGUGCACGCAAGUGAGUAUGGAUCGAUCAGUAGAAAGAUGGGAAGCCCAAGGAAACCUUCCUAGGCUAGGUGCACGCAAGUGAGUAUGGAUCGAUCAGUAGAAAGAUGGGAAGCCAUAGGAAACCUUCCUAGGCUAGGUGCACGCAAGUGAGUAUGGAUCGAUCAGUAGAAAGAUGGGAAGCCAUAGGAAACCUUCCUAGGCUAGGUGCACGCAAGUGAGUAUGGAUCGAUCAGUAGAAAGAUGGGAAGCCAUAGGAAACCUUCCUAGGCUAGGUGCACGCAAGUGAGUAUGGAUCGAUCAGUAGAAAGAUGGGAAGCCAUAGGAAACCUUCCUAGGCUAGGUGCACGCAAGUGAGUAUGGAUCGAUCAGUAGAAAGUGGGAAGCCCAUCACCAAAUGCCCUAGUGAAGACCGUAAACGAAUAUCAUGAACCGAUAAGGAGCACCAAAUGCCCUAGUGAAGACCGUAAACGAAUAUCAUGAACCGAUAAGGAGCACCAAAUGCCCUAGUGAAGACCGUAAACGAAUAUCAUGAACCGAUAAGGAGCACCAAAUGCCCUAGUGAAGACCGUAAACGAAUAUCAUGAACCGAUAAGGAGCACCAAAUGCCCUAGUGAAGACCGUAAACGAAUAUCAUGAACCGAGAAGUAGCAACGAAUGCCUGAAAAAGUACCAAGUCCUCGGUAUAGAGUAACGAGAGUUAACCGCCGUGAUGUAUGCAAUGUGGGCAGCCAUUGCAUGGGUUCUGGACUUGGUUCGCGAAUAACUUUUUUGCUAGACAUCGGACAAAGUUGACGUGGAAGAACGAAAUGUAGCAUUUGAUGCCACCUAUCCAAAACUUUUUCAAGAUUGAAGAUCCGAUCGAUACAGCCUGAGUUAUAGGCAAAAGUUGGUGCAAAAACGAGCAUUUUUAAUGGUGAAAAAUCGGUACUCCUCGAAUAGCUCCUGUUGGAAGCAUCGGACCACAUGGUCGUGGAGGAACAUAUUGUAGCGCGCGGUGUCAAGUAUCGACACCCAAAACCGCAUGUCCGAUGGACGGAAAAUGACCAAGUUAUAGUGAAAACUUGGUUGCACCAAAUUCCCGAAGAAGUGCAACGAGAAGGUGAAUGCGAUGGUUGUUCGUCGAAUAGCUCCGGCCACAGACAUGGUAGCGAUUAGUGGUGCAUGGAAGAAAUCUAGCCACAAGUGCCAUCUACCCAUGGCCAGAAGAAAGUGUGGCCAUAUCUUGGAUACCGGCGGAGCUAUGGGGCAAAUACGGGCCAAAAAUGGUGCAAGUUGGACCAAAAAUCCGAAAAAGUACCUAGGUAAAUGCGAUGGUUGUUCGUCGAAUAGCUCCGGCCAGAGACAUGGUAGCGAUUAGUGGUGCAUGGAAGAAAUCUAGCCACAAGUGCCAUCUACCCAUGGCCAGAACAAAGUGUGGCCAUAUCUUGGAUACCGGCGGAGCUAUGGGGCAAAUACGGGCCAACAAUGGUGCCAGGUGGACCAAAAAUCCGAAAAAGUACCUA